GACGAACGCUGGCGGCGCGCCUAACACAUGCAAGUCGAACGGAGCUGAGAGAAGCUUGCUUUUCUUAGCUUAGUGGCGAACGGGUGAGUAACGCGUGAGUAACCUGCCCUGGAGUGGGGGAUAACAGUUGGAAACGACUGCUAAUACCGCAUAAGCUCACGAUCCGGCAUCGGAUUGAGGGAAAAGGAUUUAUUCGCUUCAGGAUGGACUCGCGUCCAAUUAGCUAGUUGGUGAGGUAACGGCCCACCAAGGCGACGAUUGGUAGCCGGACUGAGAGGUUGAACGGCCACAUUGGGACUGAGACACGGCCCAGACUCCUACGGGAGGCAGCAGUGGGGGAUAUUGCACAAUGGGGGAAACCCUGAUGCAGCGACGCCGCGUGGAGGAAGAAGGUUUUCGGAUUGUAAACUCCUGUCGUUAGGGACGAUAAUGACGGUACCUAACAAGAAAGCACCGGCUAACUACGUG
Molecule: ribosomal RNA, 468 nt
Filed under: uncultured bacterium
Lineage: Bacteria
Description: partial 16S ribosomal RNA
Rfam family: Bacterial small subunit ribosomal RNA
Source: RNAcentral